UACGUAGGGCGCAAGCGUUGUCCGGAAUUAUUGGGCGUAAAGAGCUCGUAGGCGGCUUGUCACGUCGGGUGUGAAAGCCCGGGGCUUAACCCCGGGUCUGCAUUCGAUACGGGCUAGCUAGAGUGUGGUAGGGGAGAUCGGAAUUCCUGGUGUAGCGGUGAAAUGCGCAGAUAUCAGGAGGAACACCGGUGGCGAAGGCGGUGGUCUGGGCCGGAACUGACGCUGAGGAGCGAAAGCGUGGGUAGCAAACAGG
RNAcentral lists this ribosomal RNA (253 nucleotides) under uncultured bacterium. Its description in RNAcentral is "partial 16S ribosomal RNA". It matches the Rfam family "Bacterial small subunit ribosomal RNA", at positions 524 to 776 of the family's 1533-position model. The record is from RNAcentral.